AACUUAGUGGCUGAUUUUAAAGUGUUGAACUUUUAAUUCAAUUAUGGUUUUCGUAAACCCUAAGUUA
RNAcentral lists this transfer RNA (67 nucleotides) under Haematomyzus elephantis (elephant louse). RNAcentral describes it as "tRNA-Lys". It matches the Rfam family "tRNA". Rfam says of the family: Transfer RNA (tRNA) molecules are approximately 80 nucleotides in length. Their secondary structure includes four short double-helical elements and three loops (D, anti-codon, and T loops). Further hydrogen bonds mediate the characteristic L-shaped molecular structure. tRNAs have two regions of fundamental functional importance: the anti-codon, which is responsible for specific mRNA codon recognition, and the 3' end, to which the tRNAs corresponding amino acid is attached (by aminoacyl-tRNA synthetases). tRNAs cope with the degeneracy of the genetic code in two manners: having more than one tRNA (with a specific anti-codon) for a particular amino acid; and 'wobble' base-pairing, i.e. permitting non-standard base-pairing at the 3rd anti-codon position. Lineage: Eukaryota; Metazoa; Arthropoda; Insecta; Psocodea; Haematomyzidae. The record is from RNAcentral.